Molecule: non-coding RNA, 73 nt
Organism: Potamilus streckersoni
Lineage: Eukaryota; Metazoa; Mollusca; Bivalvia; Unionida; Unionidae
Source: the annotation of a GenBank genome assembly
GCUCCGAUGACCUAAUGGUCGGAGCGACCGCCUCGGAUGCGGGGGGUCGUGGGUUCGAUCCCCGGUCGAGUCA